AAUCACAUAACGCCUUACCAAUAUAAUGAGAGAAACAGUUUCAAAUUUAUUCAUCAACGUUGCUGUGCACCCUUGAGUGAGAGCAACAGUUUCAAAUUCUUCCAAUCUACGCUUUUUUGAUAAUAUAUCUUUCAUAAAUUUCACAUAGAUAGGCAUCUACUCCAAAGCUUCUACUAGUAGUAUGUUGAUACAGAGUUGCUUCAAUACAUCCAAAGAUCUUUUGAACUGAACAUCCUACUGAACAUCCAAAAAGGUAGAGACGGUCGUCCUUCUGGUUGCUAAUAUUAUUUUGCUGUGGCAUUUUUG
RNAcentral lists this long non-coding RNA (306 nucleotides) under Gossypium barbadense (sea-island cotton). Its description in RNAcentral is "long non-coding RNA (GBAR_LNC015631)". Lineage: Eukaryota; Viridiplantae; Streptophyta; Magnoliopsida; Malvales; Malvaceae. The record is from RNAcentral.